CGCACGGGUGAGUAACGCGUAUGCAACCUGCCCGUUUCAGCGGGAUAACCCGGAGAAAUCCGGCCUAAUACCGCAUGUGGCCGAGGGGAGGCAUCUUCUUUCGGCCAAAGGAGGCGACUCCGGAGACGGAUGGGCAUGCGUGACAUUAGCUAGUUGGCGGGGUAACGGCCCACCAAGGCGACGAUCAGUAGCCGGACUGAGAGGUUGGCCGGCCACAUUGGGACUGAGACACGGCCCAGACUCCUACGGAAGGCAGCAG
Molecule: ribosomal RNA, 259 nt
Filed under: uncultured bacterium
Lineage: Bacteria
Description: partial 16S ribosomal RNA
Rfam family: Bacterial small subunit ribosomal RNA
Source: RNAcentral